This is a long non-coding RNA of Triticum dicoccoides, 4027 nucleotides long. RefSeq lists it as uncharacterized. The transcript has 6 exons. NCBI's taxonomy places the organism in Eukaryota, Viridiplantae, Streptophyta, Magnoliopsida, Poales, Poaceae. The record is from RefSeq and is a predicted model, not a curated record.
CUCCCAUCAACGCACCACCGCCGCCCCGAACCCCCUUCCAUGACCAUAUCACCUGCGCCACCGGCCGCGCCUCCCUCCCGCAUGCCACCUGCGGCUUCCACGCCAUGGCAUGCUCUGAGCCGUUGCGGCAGUACAACUGCACGCUCCACCGCCGGUCAUGAGAAGAGCUGCGUGCAGGCCACACGUGCUCUUCCCUGGAUCCGAUUCAGUUGUGUCCCUCUCAUCCUCUCUCUGUUUGUGUGCGUAUGAAGGAAGUGGGAGGAGAUAAAACAAGGGAGUGAGAGAUCCCCAUUCUCAUGUCUGUGAGAUGUGGGUGUGGGAUUUCCCAAUGUCAAUUCCCACGUUUGUGUUGAUUAGUUGUAGUUUCAUGGAUCUGGUUCUUGUGCAAUGUAAAUCCGUGCAUAGUUCACUCAUUUUUCUCUGAAACUAUGAGCCGAUGAUAGAUUAGAGAUGAGUUGACGGUGUGGGUUUAGGUAGUGAGAUUUGCAGCUAGUUUGUUUACUUGUUUAGGUGGUUGCAAGGGCGUUCUAUUUGAUUAUAGUUAGGCCACCAGUUAGUAUUGUGGUCCUCUGUUGCAAGAAAAAUGGAUCGUCGGUUCAGUUAUAGGCAUCCAACUCUGAAGAUUUUGAAUUUUUGCAUGGUAUUUUAAGUUUGGUUUUUAUCAUAUAAUGUAAAGUUGUAAACAUGUUUCCAAUGGUCUUUGCUCCCAGUUCUGAACUCCUUAUUCAGUCUAUUAGUACAGUCGUAGUGGUGGCCACCCUGACGCCUAGCCCGCCAACCCGCAUCGUGCGCUGCCCCGGGGCCCCCGAGCACUGCCGCUCCCCGUCGCCGGUGCCUGACGGUGCGGGCCACCAUCGCCGCCCGACAAAGCAGGCUACCAUCCCUGCAUUGGCGAUGCGGAUGUCCAGUCGUUGCUGCAUCUCUCUCUGCCUAUGAAUUAGGUGUUGAAAAUGUUUUCUUAUGUAUGUUUUAGUGGGGAGUCCGAUCAUUUGCUGCUCAAAAUCCGACAACAAUCUGACAACAAUUGGAGGAGGAAUGCGCAACAAGCAAGUCUAUCAUCGAUGGCAAGGUUGGCCGUGUAUUCCUAUUCUUUGAAUUGUCUCUGUUUCAACCAUACAAUUCAUCUAGCAUAAAGUAUCGUCGUUACAACCUUUUAAUUUGGUAACUUGGAGGUAGUUUUCAAAUACUAUAUUGUGACCAAAAAGCAAGGUAGAAAAUUACUAUAUAUAUGUUCAAUGUUAGUACCUCUUUGGAAAGAGUAGCUAAGUAUAUGGUUUCACUUGUUUCUUGUGUUAGCCAACUAGAACUUAUUUUGCUUCUCAGUUCUUUGUGCAUAUCCUUACUUGAAAACUGGCUCCACCCUUCUCCCGUUGAACCUCUCAUGAACCUCGUGCACGUACAGCAGCAGCACUAGCCCCCGUUCGUGUCAUGGACAAGAUCAGUUCAACUUGUGCACUUGGCCUGUUUUGUGGGAAUGUCUGAGCAGAAAGAGAAUUAAUAUAUUUUUGCCAAUUCUUCUCUCUCACUGCAGUUAUAGCUAGCAACAGGCCCAUCUGCGUGGUAUGCAAACAGGAGGUAAACUACAGAGACUGCCACUAGUUAUGACAGUGAUUUUGGCCACUAAAUUCCAUGUUUUUCUUUUUUUCCUAGUCAUUGUUGUACUGCCUGCCAUGAAAAAACCUGAUGAUUGAAUACAACUAUUUGUGUAUUCUAUCGUCAGUUCACGGAGAAGAAAUUCUUUUCUCUUCAGUCUGUAUCUAUCGUUAGUUCCGUGUGUAUUUUUGUUCUCGUUUCUUCAGUCCACAAAGAAUAAAUAUUGUUCAUUCAUGAAUAGAGAACUUCUGUAAUAAACUUAAUAUUAGUUUGGUUUGUAUUCUAUCAUCAGUUCAUGAAAAAAUACAAACUAGUUGGUGCGUGUGCAAAAAUAUCAUCAGUUCAUGUUUCGAAAUUAUGUAAGUUUACAUAUAUCACCUAAAUAAGUAAUGUUUUGUAGCGAGUUUCUUCCGUGUCUAUUCUGAUUCAAGUGCCUUGUUCUUCCUAAAACACAAGGUGCUUGUGUUAAUGCCUAUGGGAGAAUAGCACGUACAGGGACUGUGUACUAGUGUUGAAAGCAGAAUAAAGUCCUAAGAUAAUGAUGUUCUCCCCUGCUUCCACUUCCAUUCGCCGCCUCAGAACCCCACGCACUACCGCCCUCCCUUGCCCCCUGUAGCUCGCCGUGUGCAAGUUCUUCAGUCCAAGUUCUCCGGUGAGCUCGUCUCUUGUUUCAUUUUCCUUAACACUCGGUAAGGAAAAUGAUCGUUCAACUUGAAAUAUGUUUUGGACUGAUUGUUCAAGUUCUUUCGUAUAGAAGGUUCAGAAAGUUUUAUUCCUGAAAAUGCACAUAUUUGGAGUACGCCAAUAUAUAUGUACUCCCUCCAUUCCGAUUUACUCGUUGUGGUUUUAGUUCAAAUUUUAACUAAAACCACGACCAGUAAAUCGGAAUGGAGGGAGUAUUUGUGAAUUUCGCUCUUGAGUAACAGUUCAACAUGUAUUACGCCAUCAAUUCAUAAUGGAAAGGCAGCAAACAGUUUAAUACUUGUGUGUUGCGCGCCUCCACCUUCCGGUUGCCGCGCGCCUCCACCUUCCGGUCGCCGCGCGCCUCCACCUCCCGUCCGUCGCGCGCGUCCAUCCCCGACUGUCGGCACGCCUCCACCUCCUACAUGCCGCCAUGGACAUCCAUCCCCAGUGUGCCGGCGACCUCCCUCCACCUGGCGCCGGCCCCCUCUUCCCCACUGCACCACCGCCCCCCUCUGCCUCACCGGGUCGCACCGCGCCCCUCCCUCCUCCGCCUCACCGCGCCGCCCCCAAGAGCGACGUUGUCGACACAAUUGCAGGGCCAGCUUGCUGCUGACCACGCAAUCUUCCUCAAGGAGCUCGUGUCCAACAAGACUGUAAGGAACAACUACUCGAGUUUUGAACUUCUUACUCAGUCAUGCUAGUAAUGAGGGAAAAUGGGCUGAAAUGUAUUGCAAUUUAUCUUUCUGAGACCCUGACAAUUAUUCAGUCCAUGCCACCAGGCAGUCCAACUGCAUCCGCCAUCUCAGUGUGACCUCUUAUACCUUUGCAACCCUGUGUCCCGCCAUCCAGCGAGUAGUCCAACCUCAGGGCCAUGUUCUGAGAAAAUCCCCUGAAGCGAAAUUGUUGCCGAUAGCCAUUGACCAUGAAGCUUCUCUGCCCUGCUGCUACUACUACAUGAGUACUGAUGGACAUAUGAGGGAGCAUUGUUUCUUAUCGGAGAAGGCCUGGUGUUUAGUCGGUGUCUGUGUGGUACCUACACGGCUAUACCAGCAUUUUCCAUCAAGACCUCCAGAAAAAGAGAUCAUCUCAAGGAAUUGCCUUUGUUAACUUUGGCAUCCCUCGACGCCUCGUGGAGAGGCCACGCGCUGGAUCCAGUAGGGCAACGCUGUUGACACCGCCAUAGUCCUCCAGUGUCACCCUUCCCGUCCAUGUCCAGCCGCAUCCACGACGACCGGGACUUGCUGCCAUUAGCUGUUGGUGCACCUCAUGUUAGCUCCUAGUUGUUACCUAGUGUGCUUGAUGCUACUGCUACAAAGAAGGUCGAAGGAGAUCCCUUCACUUCAAUGGAUUCAACAAAAAUAAUCCCUGGUGCCACUGCAUCCCGAGUUCAAAGGAUUCCUUAGGGGCCUUCUACACCAUCUUGCUAAUGAUGCCAUCACUGGAUGCCACGGCCAUGGUCGUCAUUCUUGUGCUGGCAUUAACAUACUGCUCCCUAUUUUACUCCACGGAGAUCCAUAGAAAUAAGUUAUAUUCAGUUCGCCACUUUUACAAUUGAUGGUCCUAUGUUAACAGAAACAAUAGUUCAAGCUCCCAAAAAUCAAUUAUGUGUAUGCUACAUCACUUUGAGGAACUACAGCAAACAAAAUAAGGAUAGCUUGGUACUACUUGAUUUAGUUUUGAUAGUACUACUUGAACCCUUUCUAUUGUAUACAUUGGCUCCUAUUUAUUGCAACCUCGUCAGAUUGUUGGA